UACGGAGGGGGCGAGCGUUGUCCGGAUUUACUGGGCGUAAAGCGCGUGCAGGCGGCUCGGUGAAGUGGGGUGUGAAAGCCCGGGGCUCAACCCCGGGACGCCGCUCCAAACUGGCGAGCUUGAGGACGGAAGAGGGGAGUGGAAUUCCUGGUGUAGCGGUGAAAUGCGUAGAGAUCAGGAGGAACACCCGUGGCGAAGGCGGCUCCCUGGUCCGUCCCUGACGCUCAGACGCGAAAGCGCGGGGAGCGAACGGG
RNAcentral lists this ribosomal RNA (254 nucleotides) under uncultured bacterium. RNAcentral describes it as "partial 16S ribosomal RNA". It matches the Rfam family "Bacterial small subunit ribosomal RNA", at positions 524 to 776 of the family's 1533-position model. The record is from RNAcentral.